GCACUGAAAGGAUAUUAAUUCUAUUUUUAUUUAUAUUUUAGUAAGUACUUUUAAGUCCGCCUUUUAAGAAAUUUUAAAUGUCUUAUCCGAAAAAAAAAGUUAUUGUAACUCGCCUUAAUUACUUACCCAUUGGCUGCACUUUGAUUUGUAUUUACCUUAUGAUAAAGUAGUAGAAUUUACCUAAAGGUAAAUUCUGGACAACGGUAUACAAGCUUUAAAAGUAAGUAGCAUUUACUUGGUGGUUGUCAAUUACAUGGUAAGUUCCCCUAAAAUACUUCAUUCAGCCGCCAUAAUAUUUAAGUUUGGACCACGUAUUAAGUAUUAAUCCUUGUAUUAUUAAUUUUAAUCUCCAUAUAAUUGGGUAUCUAAUCCAGGUUUAUCUUUGGGAGUUUGGUAUAUACACGGUAUAUGUUAACUAUCAAUAUUAAUAGUAUUUCACCACACAUUAAAUUUUUUAUAUAAAAAAGCUAAUAAACAAUAACUAUAAAUUUAUCUAUUAGGUUUGACCGCGGUUGCUGGCACCUAAUAAACCUAGACUAAAAAAUUAGCUAAAUCUAAAUUUCUUUAAUUUAUUAAUAUUUUUAACUGAGAAAAUUGUUUAAAGCUCAUAUUAAACUAGAUUGUACAUUUAUAGUUUCAUCAUACUAAAGUGAUUAUUCUAAGGGGGUAUAAAACCAUUUUAGA
Molecule: ribosomal RNA, 684 nt
Filed under: Montenegrina perstriata occidentalis
Lineage: Eukaryota; Metazoa; Mollusca; Gastropoda; Stylommatophora; Clausiliidae
Description: partial 12S ribosomal RNA
Source: RNAcentral